This 600-nucleotide ribosomal RNA is filed under the name uncultured archaeon. RNAcentral's name for it is "bacterial SSU rRNA". It matches the Rfam family "Archaeal small subunit ribosomal RNA", at positions 83 to 686 of the family's 1478-position model. The record is from RNAcentral.
GGACGGCUCAGUAACACGUGGCUAACCUACCCUCGGGUGGGGGAUAACAUCGGGAAACUGAGGAUAAUACCCCAUAGGAGAAGAGGUCUGGAAUGAUCCUUCUCUGAAAACAUAUGUGCCCGAGGAUGGGGCUGCGUCUGAUUAGGUAGUUGGUGGGGUAACGGCCCACCAAGCCUACGAUCAGUACGGGCCUUGAGAGAGGCAGCCCGGAGAUGGGGACUGAGACACGGCCCCAGGCCCUACGGGGCGCAGCAGGCGCGAAACCUCCGCAAUGCACGAAAGUGCGACGGGGGGACCCCAAGUGCUUACGCACUGCGUAGGCUUUUCUAAAGUGUAAAAAGCUUUAGGAAUAAGGGCUGGGCAAGUCCGGUGCCAGCAGCCGCGGUAACACCGGCGGCCCGAGUGGUGACCACUUUUAUUGGGCCUAAAGCGUCCGUAGCCGGUCCAGUAAGUCCCUGUUUAAAUCCUACGGCUUAACCGUAGGGCUGGCAGGGAUACUGCUGGACUUGGGACCGGGAGAGGGCGAGGGUACUUCAGGGGUAGCGGUAAAAUGUGUUGAUCCCUGGAGGACCACCUAUGGCGAAGGCACUCGCCUGGAAC